ACGGAAGGCAGCAGUGGGGAAUAUUGGGCAAUGGGCGCAAGCCUGACCCAGCAAUGCCGCGUGAAGGAAGAAGGCUUUCGGGUUGUAAACUUCUUUUAAGUGGGACGAUAAUGACGGUACCCUUGAAUAAGCUCCGGCUAACUACGUGCCAGCAGCCGCGGUAAUACGUAGGUGGCAAGCGUUAUCCGGAUUUACUGGGUGUAAAGGGCGCGUAGGCGGGGAUGCAAGUCAGAUGUGAAAUCUAUGGGCUUAACUCAUAAACUGCAUUUGAAGCUGUAUCUCUUGAGUGCUGGAGAGGUAGACGGAAUUCCUAGUGUAGCGGUGAAAUGCGUAGAUAUUAGGAAGAACACCAGUGGCGAAGGCGGUCUACUGGACAGUAACUGACGCUGAGGCGCGAAAGCGUGGGGAGCAAACAGGAUUAGAUACCCUGGUA
Molecule: ribosomal RNA, 433 nt
Rfam family: Bacterial small subunit ribosomal RNA